RNAcentral lists this long non-coding RNA (1458 nucleotides) under Gallus gallus (chicken). Its description in RNAcentral is "lncRNA (ENSGALG00010023516.1)". Lineage: Eukaryota; Metazoa; Chordata; Aves; Galliformes; Phasianidae. The record is from RNAcentral.
CGACCUAACGCCGGCCCCGAGAAGAGCGGGGUCCGACAGCCGCCAGCUCCGGAGAUCCUGGCGGCUCCCGAGCGCUCACCGUCCCCUUACUACCCGAACCGCUCACCUGUUUGGGCUGGUCCUUACCGCAAAAGGGCUCACAGCAGCCUGAAACAAAACGACACCACGAGAACAUUAAAGAGAACAUUAAAGAGAACCUGAAGGCGCCGUCCCCCCCCCCCAAAAAAAACCCGCGUACCGCUUCUCAGCCUCAGCAGCACCAGGGCCCGACAAAGAAACAGAACUCACUCCGUCUCCCAUACAGAACCGCAGAAACUCCCCCGUGGCUCCCGGCAGCCUCCGGAGGAGCUUAAGAGGCUUUGGGGCGGGCCCCGCCCGCGGCUCCCGACGAGGCGCAGCUGCGCCCGGCCGGCCGCGGCCCCGCGGCACCUGGGAGUCGUUGCCUCGUUAGCGCAGCCGGCCUCGUUAGGGACGGCCCGGGGCUCUGACAGUUUGACGUGCGGACUCCGGAUCUGAAUUAGGGACUUAAAUUACACUUUAAAGUACAGUUUGUUACGCGCUUCUCCUUCUCGCCGCACUGUGGGAUUCAUCGAUAAAAUUUGCUGUUAACCACUUGCAAGAUACAAAGUGACGGCCAGCUGGAUGAAUAGGAGAAUGUAUGUGAACACCCGGAACUGACAGACCCGGCACGGUGCAUGUGGCUUGAAGUGGGCACUGAGAGAAAGCUCAGACAAUGUAUAUACAUGCUAUUAACAUUCACAUUAAUUUCCACUGGGACACGACUUAAUUAAGUUCAGGAACGCAUGCAAGUGUACUGUUCUUAUUAGAGGCACGGUCUGGAGAAGAUGGCCGGGGAGCUGAGCAUCAUUUCUACAUCAGCUGCUGAAGCGCCCACUAACUUUGGAUGUCGCCUAAACCUUCAGAUGGAAUCCUUGCAGGCAUUCCCGUGGGGAUCGGGAAAUUGCAGUAUGCCGGAACUACCGUUGCUGAUGUGGGGCGAGCGCUCUGAAGUGCACUUGGAGAAGAACGCAUUCCAACCCCGCAUAUAUGAAAAGUUUAAUAUUUUAGACAGCUAGAUGAAAUGCUGGGGUCUUGGUGCAUUUUGCUUUGGCGGUCCAGGCUUUUCAGCAUCUUAGGGAAAUGUUUGGAAAUGAAUUUUAUUUUCACAACUGUGGUACAAUUACAAGGCGGGGAUGUUUCACCCUUCUCACCGAGGUGCCCUUGGUGGUGGUGGUCUGUAAAUGGCUAUAGAACUGACAGAGAAGUCUGCAAGCAUUUUCUUCGGUUCUGAUUUUUAUUCUUAUUUGUUUUAACAGAGAGAUAAAAACCAGCAUUGUGCAUGUCCUUGCUCUGCGGGUUGGGGAUGUAUCGUUGUUGUUGUCGUUGUUUUCCUGGGAAGUAAAACAGGGUAGGAUAUUGGAAAUAAGGGCAAGUGGAUUUAUUGCUGAGCGAGUUGUA